RNAcentral lists this ribosomal RNA (331 nucleotides) under uncultured bacterium. RNAcentral describes it as "bacterial SSU rRNA". It matches the Rfam family "Bacterial small subunit ribosomal RNA", at positions 568 to 898 of the family's 1533-position model. The record is from RNAcentral.
UGCGUAGGUGGUGCGUUAAGUCCGUUGUGAAAUCCCGAGCUCAACUCGGGAACUGCUUCGGAUACUGGCGCACUUGAGGCCGGUAGGGGUCACUGGAACAGACGGUGGAGCGGUGAAAUGCGUAGAUAUCGUCUGGAACGCCGGUGGUGAAGACGGGUGACUGGGCCGGUUCUGACACUGAGGCACGAAAGCGUGGGGAGCGAACGGGAUUAGAUACCCCGGUAGUCCACGCCCUAAACGAUGCAGACUAGAUUGCAGCGGGUUCUACCCCGUUGUGGUCGGAGAAAAAUUGUUAAGUCUGCCACCUGGGAAGUACGGUCGCAAGGCUAAA